CUGCACAUCUGUUACAUAAAUCACUCGCCAUGAAGUUGUGUUCAAAUAUCAUUAAAAGCGAUUAUUCGAAGUCUUGUGGGAUCAAUAAGUUUCAGGCGCCUUAAUAAAGAGUUUCGAUCUGCCGAGCUGAUACUGCGAUCUAUCGAUAUGUAUACUCCCCAAUAUCCACUCCACGCCUUGCUUUUCAUCGCCAGGCCAACGAGGCCACGUUUCUUUGGAAUAAACCGGAUAACAUCGAAGAAGUUAUUAUACCUGAUGCUUGACCCGCAGCUGAUCCCAAUCGCGCGGCUUCUUCGUCUCGUUCG
This is a non-coding RNA of Linepithema humile (Argentine ant), 305 nucleotides long. Lineage: Eukaryota; Metazoa; Arthropoda; Insecta; Hymenoptera; Formicidae. The record is from RefSeq and is a predicted model, not a curated record.